Molecule: ribosomal RNA, 150 nt
Filed under: uncultured eukaryote
Lineage: Eukaryota
Description: partial 18S ribosomal RNA
Source: RNAcentral
UCGUGGCAUGAGUCGUCAUUGUUAGUAUGUUAAUUCGGGUAACGAGCGAGACCUCCGUGGGGAUGAUUUGAUAGUUGGCGUUGACGCAUUGGUUGAUGCUCGCCCCAGACACGAACGUCGAAAAGACAUGGGAAGUGGGAGGCUAUAACA